RNAcentral lists this long non-coding RNA (235 nucleotides) under Nicotiana benthamiana. Its description in RNAcentral is "long non-coding RNA (NBEN_LNC005563)". Lineage: Eukaryota; Viridiplantae; Streptophyta; Magnoliopsida; Solanales; Solanaceae. The record is from RNAcentral.
UAACCAUUUACGUUAUUUCUGCAGGAUUACUUAUGCUUUGUUUUGUUAUUUUGUUUUGUCUUGCCUUGGUUACUAAUUUUGUCUUUGUUUUCCAAUGCACCUUUUCAUUCUGUCCUAUGCGCCGAGGGUCGCAUGGAAGCAGCCUCUCUGCGCUUUUGGGUAGGGGUAAGACUGCCUACAUAUUACCCUCCCCAGACCCCACCUGGUGGGAGUAUACUGGGUAGUUGUUGUUGUU